GACGAACGCUGGCGGCGUGCUUAACACAUGCAAGUCGACCGGAAAGGCUCUAGCUAGCUGGGGUACACGAGUGGCGAACGGGUGAGUAACCCGAGGGAGACCUGCUUUGCACCUCGGGAAAAGCCUGGGAAACUGGGCCUAUAACCGGAGAUGAACAUGGUGGGGAUACUGUGGUGGAUAGAUGUUGCGGCGUGGGAUGGGCACGCGGCCUAUCAGCUGGUUGGUGGGGGAGUGGCCUACCACGGCGGCGACGGGUAGCCGGCCUGAGAAGGUGGUCGGCGACAUUGGGACUGAGACACGACCCAGACUAGUACGGGAGGCAGCAGUGGGAAGUGUGACACAAUGGGCGGAAGACGGAUGCAGCGACGCCGCGUGGGGGAUGACGGACUUCGGGUUGUAGACACAUAACACCAUCGACGAAGGGUUUAUGACGGUAGCUGAAGAAGAAGCACCGGCUAACUACGUG
RNAcentral lists this ribosomal RNA (466 nucleotides) under uncultured bacterium. RNAcentral describes it as "partial 16S ribosomal RNA". It matches the Rfam family "Bacterial small subunit ribosomal RNA", at positions 28 to 507 of the family's 1533-position model. The record is from RNAcentral.